GGUGCAAGGCGUUAAAUCGGAAUUACUGGGCGUAAAGCGUGCGCAGGCGGCUUUGCAAGACAGAUGUGAAAUCCCCCGGGCUCAACCUGGGAACUGCAUUCGAGACUGCAUUGCUAGAGUAUGGGAGAGGGAAGUGGAAUUUCCGGUGUAGCGGUGAAAUGCGUAGAUAUCGGAAGGAACAUCAGUGGCGAAAAGCGACUUCCUGGACCAAUACUGACGCUCAUGUGCGAAAGCGUGGGGAGCAAACAGG
Molecule: ribosomal RNA, 250 nt
Filed under: uncultured bacterium
Lineage: Bacteria
Description: partial 16S ribosomal RNA
Rfam family: Bacterial small subunit ribosomal RNA
Source: RNAcentral